AUGCAGCUGCUAGAUUUUGGUCGAUGCAAUGAUUUGGUAUUGUCCUGUGGUGAUCUUAUCAACUUGCGGCAUGUAUUCAGCGGUCCCGCAUUGCGAAUUUCAAACAUCAGUACGCUUGUCUCACUCCAAACAAUUCCAGAAUUCAAAGUAAGUUAUGAACAAGGGCACGAGGCAAAGCAGUUGGGGUACCUAAACAGGCUCAGCGGCAAACUGAUUAUCUCUGGUCUCGGAAAUGUUCAAAGCAGAGAGGAAGCUCUUGAAUUCGAUCUAGCUGCCAAGAAACGGCUCACAGGUCUAUCAUUAUAUGCAAGUCCAGGAGUUGCAGCAGAGGUACUUGAGGGCCUCUGUCCUCCCGUGGGGAUUGAAAAACUAGAAAUCACUGGCUACGGAGGUUUGGUAUACCCAAACUGGAUGGUGUGCAGGCAAAAUGGUGGACCAGAGAAGCUGCAAGAACUUGAGGGUUUCAUUCAGCUUCGUUCGCUCAAGCUGUCGUACUGCAGCUGGAAUGCCUUGCCAGGCAAUAUGGAGCACCUCAGCUCGCUCGAAUCACUAUACAUUGAUGGAUGUUUGAAUGUGCGGUCGGUUCCAACGCUACCACAGUCUCUUGAGGAUUUUGCACUCUCGGACUGCAACGAUGGGUUUAUGAAGUCUUGUGAAACAGAUGGACACCCAAACUGGCAAAAGAUUCAACACAUCCCCAGGAAAAGGUUUAUGUGGCCCCGCAAAUUAUGA
RNAcentral lists this ribosomal RNA (732 nucleotides) under Triticum aestivum (bread wheat). Its description in RNAcentral is "partial small subunit ribosomal RNA". Lineage: Eukaryota; Viridiplantae; Streptophyta; Magnoliopsida; Poales; Poaceae. The record is from RNAcentral.